This 2774-nucleotide ribosomal RNA is filed under the name Escherichia coli NCCP 15653. RNAcentral's name for it is "bacterial LSU rRNA". It matches the Rfam family "Bacterial large subunit ribosomal RNA". Lineage: Bacteria; Pseudomonadati; Pseudomonadota; Gammaproteobacteria; Enterobacterales; Enterobacteriaceae. The record is from RNAcentral. RNAcentral also lists the same sequence under 1 other name.
AGCGUACACGGUGGAUGCCCUGGCAGUCAGAGGCGAUGAAGGACGUGCUAAUCUGCGAUAAGCGUCGGUAAGGUGAUAUGAACCGUUAUAACCGGCGAUUUCCGAAUGGGGAAACCCAGUGUGAUUCGUCACACUAUCAUUAACUGAAUCCAUAGGUUAAUGAGGCGAACCGGGGGAACUGAAACAUCUAAGUACCCCGAGGAAAAGAAAUCAACCGAGAUUCCCCCAGUAGCGGCGAGCGAACGGGGAGCAGCCCAGAGCCUGAAUCAGUGUGUGUGUUAGUGGAAGCGUCUGGAAAGGCGCGCGAUACAGGGUGACAGCCCCGUACACAAAAAUGCACAUACUGUGAGCUCGAUGAGUAGGGCGGGACACGUGGUAUCCUGUCUGAAUAUGGGGGGACCAUCCUCCAAGGCUAAAUACUCCUGACUGACCGAUAGUGAACCAGUACCGUGAGGGAAAGGCGAAAAGAACCCCGGCGAGGGGAGUGAAAAAGAACCUGAAACCGUGUACGUACAAGCAGUGGGAGCACGCUUCGGCGUGUGACUGCGUACCUUUUGUAUAAUGGGUCAGCGACUUAUAUUCUGUAGCAAGGUUAACCGAAUAGGGGAGCCGAAGGGAAACCGAGUCUUAACUGGGCGUUAAGUUGCAGGGUAUAGACCCGAAACCCGGUGAUCUAGCCAUGGGCAGGUUGAAGGUUGGGUAACACUAACUGGAGGACCGAACCGACUAAUGUUGAAAAAUUAGCGGAUGACUUGUGGCUGGGGGUGAAAGGCCAAUCAAACCGGGAGAUAGCUGGUUCUCCCCGAAAGCUAUUUAGGUAGCGCCUCGUGAAUUCAUCUCCGGGGGUAGAGCACUGUUUCGGCAAGGGGGUCAUCCCGACUUACCAACCCGAUGCAAACUGCGAAUACCGGAGAAUGUUAUCACGGGAGACACACGGCGGGUGCUAACGUCCGUCGUGAAGAGGGAAACAACCCAGACCGCCAGCUAAGGUCCCAAAGUCAUGGUUAAGUGGGAAACGAUGUGGGAAGGCCCAGACAGCCAGGAUGUUGGCUUAGAAGCAGCCAUCAUUUAAAGAAAGCGUAAUAGCUCACUGGUCGAGUCGGCCUGCGCGGAAGAUGUAACGGGGCUAAACCAUGCACCGAAGCUGCGGCAGCGACACUAUGUGUUGUUGGGUAGGGGAGCGUUCUGUAAGCCUGUGAAGGUGUACUGUGAGGUAUGCUGGAGGUAUCAGAAGUGCGAAUGCUGACAUAAGUAACGAUAAAGCGGGUGAAAAGCCCGCUCGCCGGAAGACCAAGGGUUCCUGUCCAACGUUAAUCGGGGCAGGGUGAGUCGACCCCUAAGGCGAGGCCGAAAGGCGUAGUCGAUGGGAAACAGGUUAAUAUUCCUGUACUUGGUGUUACUGCGAAGGGGGGACGGAGAAGGCUAUGUUGGCCGGGCGACGGUUGUCCCGGUUUAAGCGUGUAGGCUGGUUUUCCAGGCAAAUCCGGAAAAUCAAGGCUGAGGCGUGAUGACGAGGCACUACGGUGCUGAAGCAACAAAUGCCCUGCUUCCAGGAAAAGCCUCUAAGCAUCAGGUAACAUCAAAUCGUACCCCAAACCGACACAGGUGGUCAGGUAGAGAAUACCAAGGCGCUUGAGAGAACUCGGGUGAAGGAACUAGGCAAAAUGGUGCCGUAACUUCGGGAGAAGGCACGCUGAUAUGUAGGUGAAGCGACUUGCUCGUGGAGCUGAAAUCAGUCGAAGAUACCAGCUGGCUGCAACUGUUUAUUAAAAACACAGCACUGUGCAAACACGAAAGUGGACGUAUACGGUGUGACGCCUGCCCGGUGCCGGAAGGUUAAUUGAUGGGGUUAGCGGUAACGCGAAGCUCUUGAUCGAAGCCCCGGUAAACGGCGGCCGUAACUAUAACGGUCCUAAGGUAGCGAAAUUCCUUGUCGGGUAAGUUCCGACCUGCACGAAUGGCGUAAUGAUGGCCAGGCUGUCUCCACCCGAGACUCAGUGAAAUUGAACUCGCUGUGAAGAUGCAGUGUACCCGCGGCAAGACGGAAAGACCCCGUGAACCUUUACUAUAGCUUGACACUGAACAUUGAGCCUUGAUGUGUAGGAUAGGUGGGAGGCUUUGAAGUGUGGACGCCAGUCUGCAUGGAGCCGACCUUGAAAUACCACCCUUUAAUGUUUGAUGUUCUAACGUUGGCCCGUGAUCCGGGUUGCGGACAGUGUCUGGUGGGUAGUUUGACUGGGGCGGUCUCCUCCUAAAGAGUAACGGAGGAGCACGAAGGUUGGCUAAUCCUGGUCGGACAUCAGGAGGUUAGUGCAAUGGCAUAAGCCAGCUUGACUGCGAGCGUGACGGCGCGAGCAGGUGCGAAAGCAGGUCAUAGUGAUCCGGUGGUUCUGAAUGGAAGGGCCAUCGCUCAACGGAUAAAAGGUACUCCGGGGAUAACAGGCUGAUACCGCCCAAGAGUUCAUAUCGACGGCGGUGUUUGGCACCUCGAUGUCGGCUCAUCACAUCCUGGGGCUGAAGUAGGUCCCAAGGGUAUGGCUGUUCGCCAUUUAAAGUGGUACGCGAGCUGGGUUUAGAACGUCGUGAGACAGUUCGGUCCCUAUCUGCCGUGGGCGCUGGAGAACUGAGGGGGGCUGCUCCUAGUACGAGAGGACCGGAGUGGACGCAUCACUGGUGUUCGGGUUGUCAUGCCAAUGGCACUGCCCGGUAGCUAAAUGCGGAAGAGAUAAGUGCUGAAAGCAUCUAAGCACGAAACUUGCCCCGAGAUGAGUUCU